This 331-nucleotide ribosomal RNA is filed under the name uncultured bacterium. Its description in RNAcentral is "bacterial SSU rRNA". It matches the Rfam family "Bacterial small subunit ribosomal RNA", at positions 568 to 898 of the family's 1533-position model. The record is from RNAcentral.
CGUGCAGGCGGUUCGGUAAGUUGGGCGUGAAAUCUCCCGGCUCAACUGGGAGAGGUCGUCCAAUACUACCGGACUCGAGAGCAGUAGAGGAAGACGGAAUUCCCGGUGUAGUGGUGAAAUGCGUAGAUAUCGGGAGGAACACCAGUGGCGAAGGCGGUCUUCUGGACUGUUUCUGACGCUCAGACGCGAAAGCUAGGGUAGUAAAUGGGAUUAGAGACCCGGUAAUCCUAGCCGUAAACGAUGUGAACUUGGCGUCGGUGGCUUAAACACCAUCGGUGCCGCAGCUAACGCGAUAAGUUCACCGCCUGGGGACUACGAUCGCAAGAUUAAA